GAUGAACGCUGACAGAAUGCUUAACACAUGCAAGUCAACUGUGGAGGACGGGUGAGUAACGCGUAAAGAACUUGCCUCAAAGAUAGGGACAACAUUUGGAAACGAAUGCUAAUACCUGAUACUGUGAGAGAGCUUUGCGUCCCAUUAGCUAGUUGGAGAGGUAACGGCUCACCAAGGCGAUGAUUGGUAGCCGGCCUGAGAGUGUGAUCGGCCACAAGGGGAAUGAGACACGGCCCUUACUCCUACGGGAGGCAGCAGUGGUGAAUAUGGGACAAUGGACCAAAGUCUGAUCCAGCAAUUCUGUGUGAACGAUGAAGUUUUCGGAAUGUAAAGUGCUUUCAGUUGGGAAGCAGGACCAACAGAAGAAGUGACGGCUAAAUACGUGCCAGCAGCCGCGGUAAUAC
RNAcentral lists this ribosomal RNA (404 nucleotides) under uncultured bacterium. RNAcentral describes it as "partial 16S ribosomal RNA". It matches the Rfam family "Bacterial small subunit ribosomal RNA", at positions 28 to 526 of the family's 1533-position model. The record is from RNAcentral.